Molecule: ribosomal RNA, 429 nt
Filed under: Chloroflexota bacterium
Lineage: Bacteria; Bacillati; Chloroflexota
Description: Chloroflexi bacterium partial 16S ribosomal RNA
Rfam family: Bacterial small subunit ribosomal RNA
Source: RNAcentral
UGGGGAAUAUUGCACAAUGGGCGCAAGCCUGAUGCAGCCAUGUCGCGUGUGUGAAGAAGGCCUUCGGGUUGUAAAGCACUUUCAGCGGGGAGGAAGGCGAUAAGGUUAAUAACCUCAUCGAUUGACGUUACCCGCAGAAGAAGCACCGGCUAAUUCCGUGCCAGCAGCCGCGGUAAUACGGAGGGUGCAAGCGUUAAUCGGAAUUACUGGGCGUAAAGCGCACGCAGGCGGUCUGUCAAGUCGGAUGUGAAAUCCCCGGGCUCAACCUGGGAACUGCAUUCGAAACUGGCAGGCUAGAGUCUUGUAGAGGGGGGUAGAAUUCCAGGUGUAGCGGUGAAAUGCGUAGAGAUCUGGAGGAAUACCGGUGGCGAAGGCGGCCCCCUGGACAAAGACUGACGCUCAGGUGCGAAAGCGUGGGGAGCAAACAGG